Molecule: long non-coding RNA, 11533 nt
Organism: Numida meleagris (helmeted guineafowl)
Lineage: Eukaryota; Metazoa; Chordata; Aves; Galliformes; Numididae
Exons: 8
Source: RefSeq, a predicted model, not a curated record
UAACAAAAGCAGAAUAAUUUUGACCUUAAUUUUCUAAUGCAAGUCAUUUGGGCCAAGGUUAGAUUUCUGUCGCAGGAUGAGAGUCAGCAUUAAAUACACAACUAUUUGCAGAUAGGGCGCAGAGGCAAAUUCUGUUCAUCCAUUCAAGAUCGCCACAACCUAGAGGACCAAAUGCUGCUGGCCAUCAGCAGUAUUGUGACAAAUGCUAUUGUUCCUGAAUUAAUUUUCAGGAUUUUCUUCUUGUUUCUGUUUUUUUUUCUUUUUUUUUGUCAUUAUUUGGAAAAUCAAACAAACAACCCUAUGUGAUCUGGAAGGCUGCAUUCAAGAUUUGUCUUCUUUGGAAGCCAAGAGCAAGUAGAGAUAAACACACUGAAGAGCUGCCCUAAGUUUGUGUUGCAUGUCUUGCAUUUCCUUAAAAACUGAAGUCCUGAAAAGACAUCCUGUGUAAUUUCAUUUUCACAGGCUCAAAAUGGAGUUGAAAUCAUACGUCAUUGAGGGUCUUGUGGUUUCUUGACUCCUUGAGAGACUUCAAGCAAGUCAGCUAGCAGUGAUACGUUUCUUAAACUGGGCACAAAUCUUUUGAAUCCGACUUAUCUGAAACCUCCCGUUGCCAAUGUCAUUUGUCACGAGCCUGUCUCUUGGAGAGCUGUAGGGUGAUGCCCUCUACACCGAACUUCACACGGCUGUUUCAGAUGUUCCCCAGUUCCAUGCAGUCCUUUUGCUGGCUAACCACCAGGCACGGCAACACAUUGUUCAGGGUUGAUUCUGAAUCUGUUUUUUUUCCUUCUACUACUUGCAUCGAGUCCCGAAAGUUCUUCGAUGGGACAGCGAAGAAUUAAUGCCAAAGUUGAACGAGUUACAGCCGCUACUACCUAAUUAAAAUGAUUUUGUGCCAGUUGCUUUUGUUGGGCAGGAUCCACACAUAAUAUAAUUUUAAUCCUGUUUAUAUACACUCCGGGGACAGAUUUGAGAUCAGCAUUGCCAUUUAAGUGAGGUUAAUCAAGCAUACUGUAUGCAGCUUUUGUUUCUCGACGGUAUGUGAAAGGUGACUACAGCUGACGGGCUCCUGACUGGCCGCUGGCUGCAAACCCCACCACUUCCUUGUUAACAGAGUGUCUGAUCAUUAACCUAACCCCAGCCCCGAUGACUCCUCCUGCCCGCUCCUUGGAAUUGCGCAGCUGUUGUUAUUCACAGAGGAGCUCAUAGUUAUGAACUGGGUCGUCCUGGCAGCGGGUACGCGGUUGCGCGGAGGCUUUCUCCAUCCUUGUGUCUCUGCAGUUCAGUGACCUCAACACGGGAGGAGAAAUGUGUGUGUCCCAGAAGCCCCACAUGUUGGUCAAGCCAGCUGAGAAGGAGUUGUGCUGCACUGUGCUUGGGAAAUUCCUACAACUGGAGCACACUGUUCCUUUCCUCUCAGUUAAUAACCAAAAUCCGUUGAUGCCACUGGGAUGGAGAUGUGGUCCAUAUUACAAAUACUUGUCAUUCUUCUUCCCCUUUAAAAUUAUGGGACGGUGGACGUGCAUCUGGUCCUGGUUAUGAGUGUUGGCCUCCUGUCUACAGCAGAUACAAGGUGGAGGGAUUGGGGCCAUGUGAGUUAGCAGCCCUGGAGAGCUCAGCAGCCACAGGGUACAGCAUGGACCUAACUCUGAAGACUUGCAUCAAAUAGAGAGCUGCAAAUCUCAUCUUCAUCUGUUAUCAUGGUACUGCAUCAUGCUUUCAGCCAGGCUCUAACACUGUGCACGCAGGUCUGUAGUACAUGGGUGUCUUCCUGAGGACGUGCUUUGGUUUGUACCACCAGUGCUUACCUUGUCAGUUUGCAUAGGAGAUAAGCAGAGCAUCUCUUAAGGCAGGAGUCACUGGAGAACUUGAGUGGCAUGGCUGGCCAAAUUUUGUUCCCCUUAAGAGGCAAAUACCAAAGUCUUUCUACUGCCAAAUGUUGGCAAAGCUCAGCUAGCUCUGUGCGUACUGAUGAAGUGCCCUGUUGAUAUGGGAGAUAGGCAAGAUAGGGACCUGAGCUAAUAAAAAUCUUUUUACGGACCUACCAGAAGCUUUGCUAUCAUUUUAGUGAACUACACAAGAAUAACUCAGUCAGAGAGCUCUCACAUUAAAAACAGAAUGAUAAAAAUCAAAGCAAAAUGUCCUGGCAUGAAUUUAAUACCCUUGACGGUUUUAUUCAAUUUCUCAAGAAGUCUAGUGAGUACACAAAAAAUCAAAGUUAAAGGUACAUCAAAUUUAUUCAAGCCAAUACAAGAUUAAUGAAUUGAGAAGACACAUAGCUUGAAAGUUUCCUUAGGGCCAUCCAGACAAUCUCUGCCCAAAAAUGCCAAAGGGUUCACAAAAGGUGCAGCAGCAAUUGCAGCAGGACUCUGAGUGGAGCAAAAAUUUUUCAUACUAACUUUUGCUUUUCGUAUCUUUCUUGAACGAAAACAUAAAGCCCUGGAAAUGGAUAUUUUUCAUGCUAUAGCAGUGACAAUUUAUGGAUCCAAUAAUUUCUCAGAUGCUACUUGAAAAAUGUUUCUUUAUCCAGAGGUUAACUCCUUUAGGAGUACAAAUCUUUAAAUGUUCUUACUUGCUCUAUUAGUUGGUACAACUAGAUUCACCACAGUUAUAAAUCUCUCAAUUUUCUAGUCUGUAACAGAAUAAUCCCCGAAAUCUCAUAGGUACAAAUGGAAUUGCUAAUUUUCAAUAAAUCUGCAGUAACAGGUAAUAGUGUCAUGGUUCCCAGUUCCAAUCAUUUUUGCAAUAAUGAAUGAGACUAUAGAAGAGUCACUUUUGGCCAUAAAAUCUACUGUCCAGGGCACAUAUUUUAACCCCCAAAGCACUUAACCAAUUUCCCUCCCUUUGUUGUUGUCACUGUUGUACCACAGCAUGUCGUCCUGAUGUAAGAUCAGGGCCAUUUUGGACAUUGAUUUGGACAUUGGACAUUUGGAAAUUGAGAAUAUUUCCAGCCUUACAGUGUUCAAUAUGGGGCUACAAAUUCAGGCUGUUUGCAUGAACCUGUAGAUAGGUGCAGUUCACCUGAAACCUCCCCGGUGCCCAACCCCAAGCCUGAAAUCUGACUUUAAGGUUAGAUGAACACUGCGAAUGUUGAUGACCCUUUUGUGCCGAAGAAAAUUGGUGCUGUCAUCUCUGGAGGCUCUGAAAGCAUCUGCUCAGGUGCCCGCUGCUAAAGGGUGUGCGGGACUACUUCAUUCUAAAAUGCACCAGAGAGGCCAUGAGGUUUUUGGCAUUCCAUCCUGCUUAACCCACUGGCUCUCUUGGGGUGCUACAGGCAGAGGCUAUGUUGACUUUGGGAGCAUCACAUUCUGUAGGCAGAUUGGCCCAAUUCAGCAUGAUUGCAGAGUGUGCAGUCCAAAACUCAUCUUACAAAGACUUGGAUGGUGGAUGUGGUAGUAACUUUAAAUCACUAAACUGCUCACAGUCAUGUAGCUAGCUAAAUACCUUGCUAGUUUAUACAACCAAAUGCAAGCAUACAUCUUCACAGAAACAAGCUGGGAAUGGAUAUAAGGACCUGGAGAGCUGUAGACACUUGUCCAAGAUGUUAAAAAUGGCUCUGAGAGUAGAACCCAUAUCUCUGAAGUCCCAGUUCAGGGAUCUGCCAACACGGGUUUGACUUUCAGUGCCAGCAAAAUAACGCUGAAAAAUAUUAAAUCAGUUAGAAACUUGCCAAACGAAAAAGUUAUAUUAACAAAAAAUGUUUCUUUGAGCUUUAUUGAUUUUCAGCUCUGGGUGGAGGAAACUCUCUAGACAGACAUUUGAACGCAUUAUUGUCUUCUAUUUACUCUGCAGAUAUACCUAGUAUACUUUAUGAGAUGAAUUCAGGAGGAAAAAGGCCAAUUAAAAUCUGAAUCUCAUGCAGUUAAAGAUUAGAAAAACUCCAUAUUUGUUACAUUCAGCUUUAACGAUAACAGCCAAGCCACAAGAGCAUCUAAACCUAGCUCUAAAUCUUACACACCACAUGCUUUCUCUGCACAUGAUGAAUUGGUUUAAGCUUCACAAAGUGCACAAACAACUACCUUUCAGUUAAGACAUCUUUGUGAAUCUUACAGUUGUUUGACAAGGGAUAAAUGGUAGAUUAGGAGCUGGUGUCAUAGAAUUACAGAACAGCUUUGGCUGGAAAGGACCUAAAAGCCCAUGCAGCCCCAAGCCCUGCCAUGGGCUGGUUGCCACCCACUAGAUCAGGCUACAGUUGGCCUUCAGGCUUCAAGCGCUCGCUGCGGGCUCGUGUCAAGCCUUUUAUCCACCAGAACCCCAGUACCAGACAAAAGAGCUCACUAUGUUGGAGAGAUCAAGAUUUUACACUGUUUUCCUUCAAAAUACAUUCGUCUGUUAGAACUGAUACAUGAUAGGUGUACUCAAGAAGAAGUUGGCCAAGAAGCCAAUCACUGUUAGACACGUACCCAACACAGAACGUGGGGGAUGAUGUGGCAGCUGUCCUUCAGCUGUGCCAUCCAAUAUGAACUAUCAUGUCACCCUGCCUCUACAUUUUCACGAGCAAUGAAAAUGUGAACUUUUUGCUUCAUGAAAUGUUCUGUUUAUCUACAUCUGCGCUUUUACCAAAGCUUUCUAAUAUUCUUGAGCUCUUGCCAGGAUGCCCGAGGUAGUCGUUUGAGCUUUCUGAGGUUUUUCUCAAAAUGUUGACUCAUUUUACAUGCAAUAUCCAAAGGAUUAAGUAUCAUCAGUACAGCAGAUACUGAAAUAUAUUUAUAGGGUAACAGACAACAGAAAGGCCAGACCUCAUGUACUCCUAUAGACUUAUGCUGAUUUCACCGUGCUUCAUUUAGCUGUCUAGUAGUUUCAUGGGCAACCACACACCAUCACACAAAAACACUUAGUUAAAAGGCAUUUUAUUUAACAUGCAUUUCUCAGAAAAGGCACUGGAGAUGUGUGAAAUAGAUUUCGUGUUGCACUGGGAGCACAUAUGGGAAACAGCACACAACAUACACGACUGUGGGAACCACAGUGAAAUAUUCACCAAAUGCCAUUAGACACAGAUCUCUUCCCUCUCAAGUGAGCAAAGCCCCACGUCCUCCCCCAUUUAUCUACUGUGACAGAUGUCUGAUGUAUGUCCUUGAGCAAGGAUGAAAAUGAGAUGUCCUUAAGUACUGUUUAGACUUCCACUGAAAUCUUUAUAGGGGGUUAUAGGACUUUUGUACAGGAAUUACAAGAGGAGCAGGAUUUGCAAGGGUGCUGCUGAGACAAUGUGGGCAAAGUACUGGAGGAAAGUGCAGGGAAAGCAGCACAGCAUUGCCAGGUGCAUGGAGGAUGCUUGGUCGGGAGCCUGGAAGGAAUUUGGGAAUGCAGUAGCUCAAUCAGUGCUGCAUUUAACAGGCUCAUUACAACUAGUAAAUAUUUCAGAAAGUGGAGGAAAACAUCUGUCUAGCAUUCCAGUCGCUCACUUUUCAGUACUACAGGCUUUGCUUGAAAUGGUAAUUCAAGUUGGAACAUCAAUGAGCCUUGGGUAAUACUUUCCAGUGGGAACCAGCCAGCCCAGCCUCUGGAAGGAGAAGCUGGCUUCAGUACUUGCACUAAGGGUCUGUUAAGAAACUCUAUCUGAACUUGCUCUCGUUAAACUUUUGCAGUGCACUUGUAUGCUGCUGAAGUAAGCAUGAUAACUGAUCUCUUCUUUAAAACUCCAUGCCAUAUCUGAACUUUCUGCAUAUGUAAUAUAGGCAAUGAGAUUUUUUUUUUCUGUUAUGUUCUUGAAGAAGUAGAGUGUGGCUUGAACAAUUCAGGCAGUUGUGUAACUUGUCCAUUUCUGUUUGCUUCUGAAAGAAAGGACAGAUCUUUGUGGAAAUAAGAAGGAUUCACAUUACUUCUUUUGUGGAAACACGUUAAAAAUGGCACUGAUUAAUAGGCUGGCAAUUGUAAUAGAAGGCUUCCAGGUCCUUCAGAACAUCUUCUAGAAGCUGCUCCUCAGGAUAAUGUCAUCAUUUAAAAAAAGAAGAAAAAAAAAAAGAAACAUACAGAUGUCUUUUCACCUCCUAUCCACCUGUUAAACAAACUUGUCAUUUCUACAGCCAAUUCGGGAAAGGAGUUAUCAGAUCCUUUCCUUGGAGACCUAAGUGUAACCCUGCAGGUCUCUGGGGUCAACCUCAUACCUUCUCAGAAAAGCUCCCUGCACAAUUUUGAUAGUCACGGCAGUCAUUAUCAACCAGCUUGGCAUGGGCCUCUAGGGUUUUCCCAUUGAGCAAGGUCUGAACUGUGCUGCCCAUGCCUUCUCUCACCAAUUAUAAGUUCCGUACAGUUUUUUAAAAGACUGCAAAAACAUAUCAACAUCAUUCCGUUCCUUGUAAUGAGGAAGCAAUUUUACCUUAUUAUAACUGACUAAAUAUGCAUGGGCUGACCCAGUAGGACCCUCAUUCACCCUUAUUCUUUCCCUCUGGAAAUCAUAUUCCAUUUUCAUCGUUUCCAUUUCAAAUUUUUCUUCCUCUCCAUCCUUUCUCUGCUCUCUCUCUUGAUCCCAUUCUUGUUCCAGCUUUAUCUUUUCCAUGCUGAAUUGUCACUCUCCACACUCCUGCUCUCAUUACAACUUCCUUUGUAUUUGGUGCCUGCUCAUUCCCAUUUACAGUUGCCUUCCCUUUUACCUUGUGCCUUUAUAUCAUCAGCUUAGCACCUAUGCACCUAUUUGCUGCUCAGACUCCCCUGCAUAGCUUCAAUUAGUUGACAGGUGUCAUUAAUGCAGUUUCCUGCCUCCACCCUGCUGCUUCAAAACAUUAAGAAGCAGGCUGCUACUGGGAGAAAGCACGGGAGCAGCGGGCUGGGUGUGUGUCCCUGCGUGGCUGUGGUGGAUGGCUGCCUGUAUGCUUCCAGAAGGGAGCUGGUGCUCAGCAAGACUCACCAGCUCUUCCAUCAUACUCUCAGGGUGAGCCUGGGCACCCACUUCUCCAAAAGUAACUCCCACUCAAGCUCCUCUGAGAGCUCCUAGUGUGGAACAGAACCCUUUUCUCGUGUUUGUGAAGAGCUCUGGCUCUGAAAACCCCAGUCUGGGCUGUGAGGAAAUGUGUAACUUAGUGAAAAUCACUUUCCAGCCUUCCUAGUAGCAACCGUUGAGAUUGCUCAGCAGAGCAUGUGGAAACCUGCUUUCUCAGUGACAAACUGCUGCACAUUCUUCAUGCCUAUCAUGCCUGAGGGCUUGGCAUGAGAAUGAGGUAGGUGAUGCAGAAUAAAACAAGGAGGUUGUUAAAUGCCUCAGAAAAACCAUGCCCCGAAAAGCGCUCUAGGCCAUAGUGUCAAAGAUGAGAGACACAUCAGAGCUGUGAAUCCCAGUGACCACUGGAGGUAGCUCCCAGCCAGUCCCAGGUUGGCCUCGGUCAUUCAUCUACAGAAAUGAAAACAGCUCCAAGAGCUGUAUCUGGGAUGAGCUGAGGGUUGAAACAGCGCAGCAUCUGAUUUAUAUAGCAUGAAACAGAAAGGGACAGAUGGUUCCUGAAGCCCAGGAGUGGUCCCGCACCACCAGACAUUCCUGGCUGCUCGGGCCCUGCCCAGUAGGGUGCUGGGUUAAACCCACAGGUUAUGAUGGGCAGUGAAGAACUGACAGAAGUGAGGUUGAGCGAAGCUGCCCAGGUAUUUGUACAACCUGUGGCUUCCUUUCCUAUGCACAGAAGAUUACCUGUUCCCGUUGACCUAAGUCUCUUUUUCAGCAAUUUACACCCUGUACGAAUCCCCAGAGAUGCACAGGUAUCCCUUGUCUGUUGACGUUUCAAAAACAUCGCUCUCCUAUUGACAUUUGAAAAACACGACGUGCAGGCUUGUUUUCAUAUGCAGAAAGACCUCUUGCUAUCUGCGACCUUUCUGCAAAAGGUGAGUAGCACCUUGGCUGUAGGUGCAGGAGAUGGGAAAAUGCAACUGGAGAGGGAAAGCAUUGGACACCUCUGCAACGUGACUCAGCUAACGGCAGUCAGCGCUCCCUCCUGGUGCAGGAGAUGCACCGUGCAAGGGACACAGCACCAUGGCUUCUGCAGGGCUCCUGGUGAGUGACUCUUGUCCUCAGCCUCCAACAGGGCAUGGCACUCUGUGUGCAUCCUCCUUGGAGGAGUUCAGCCGGGGAAAGGAAGAACCUGGAUAUUUCCUUGUAUUGAUCUACAUUUGUGUUCAUACAUGCAGGGAAAUUCUUUCUGUGCAAGCAAGCUGAACUAACAGAGCCAGUGGCGUGAGCGUUUCUUAACAGCUUCUUCUUAUCAUCUGUCUCUUCUUAAGAUGCAUUCUGCUGUGCUACACGUUUAGCUCUGUCUGCUGGAGAACUAGCAAAGGUCAAAUGAAGGAAAACAUCUCUCAGAGAAAUGUUACCGGACAAGGAGGUACCAUACAGAACACCUCUCUUCUUUCAAAGAUUACAGAUUGACAAUGAAGACCCUGGUUCCAAGCUUCUGCAAGGCCAGGGCUGCCCACUACCGACAAAUCUUGCUGUUAACACAAGCAAGUAUAAAGCCCUGAAGGGCUGAAAGUGCUGAGUUUAGAAUACACCUUGCUGCAAACAGUCGUUUCUCCUCUCCUUCUUCAGCUGAGGAUGCAGCCAUCUCUUCCUGCUUGCUAUACCGUCUUCCAUCAGUAGUUUCCAGGAGAGCACAGAGAGCAGGAUGUGCCCAUCACACCUUGCUCUAAACUGACUGGAAGCUGUGGUGAACAUCAAAGAAAAAAGCCAUGCUGUGAACGAACGUACCUCACCUCGCCAAAUGCCUUUUGAAGAGCAAACAGACAAGGAAGACCUCACGCCUGGCUCCAUGGGAGGGACUGCACGUGGCCUGCGUUGCCAUUACCCCUGGAGAGCUGCACAUCCACUCUGCCAGGAUUCACAGCCUGCAGUGCCAUUAGCAGAGGGGUGCUCUGUGGCAGUCCCUGGGGACGGUUCCAUGGCCAACAUAAUCAGGUGAACCUCUGCUCCUGGCCAGUUAUGUGUAUUAAAUGAGUGACACAGAAAAGGUGCAGGAUAGUAGAGAAAUGCCCCAAUUUUACAUUCUUGAUUGCCUUUGUGAAAAGGAGGCUCAGUAAAGCUAUGGCUAUUAGUAAAUAAUCAAGACUAUUACUGAUUAAGGUUUCUUUCCGAUGUGAACUGCGCCUGGUUGAAAUUACAAUGAGUUUGUCCUCUGUGAGAAGGCUUCAGUCACAUCCAUCAUCUCCACCGGACUCAUGGUUCAUAAAAGGCAUCACUUGCUCUCUAAAGGAGGUCGUAGCAGACCAACCAGUGAGGCAUUACUCCUCUGUCCCCUGGUUGGAUACUUUUGCUUCCAAAGCAAAAGCUGUCCUCUGCAAACCUGCCCCAAAAGCUGUGUCUCAACACGGUAAGAAGCAACUCUCUUACUGAGCCUGAAGGACUCAUCACAAACUCAGGUUGCUGUGGGGAUGGCAACACAACCCUGCCCAUCAUUUUGUGCUUCCAAACACAAUCGUUCCCAUUUAGAAAGGAAAGGAGUCUGUUUGACAUGCUGGUGGUCGCACGUAAUGCAGAUCAGUAAGGGUCAUCUGCCCUUAUGAAGCUUAAUGGAUUCCUGCACUUGCUACACAGAGGUCAAUCUUUCUCCUAGUAUAUUUUUCCUGGAUUAUUGUUCAUCUCUGCCUGUUUGUCGCUGGUGUCUUAAGUUACCUCCCAAGUUGUAUCUCUGCAGGCUUGUUUGGCUUGUGUUCUGCAUUGAUUCUGACACAGAACGGCUUCCAGUGUUUUGGAAUCCUUUUGCACUUGUCAAAAUCGGAAACAAAAUACAGGUUUGAGCACUCUGCACUAACCCAUCACCCUGUUUGAGGCUGACAGCAUGUUCAGAGCAAACAAUUUCCCCCGCUGCAUGAAAGAUGGAAUCUUUUUAAACAGUAUUUUAUGUCUGUCACUAAGUUCAGAAGUACUUUUUUGACAAGUGCCUGAAAUACACUUGGUAGAGCUGAUAAAAGCCACGCCAGCACUGAGAAGAAAAAUCAGAUGUAGGGGUAGGGAUUGGAAGAUACCAUCUAGAAAUAUGACCAGGUGCUGUUUGACCCUGGGAUUUCUGCAUAUGGAACUUAUCUAUUCAUGCUCUAACUCUGCAGAGGUAUAUUGGAGGGAGAGGGAAGCUGAUGGUAAUGACAGAUGACCCCUAUAGCUCUUAUUGAUGAGGUUCUUUUAAGGGAGAACAGAUUUUUCCAAGUGUUUUCCCGAGAUAAGCCUUUAAUGACAGUGCUGGGAACUGUCUGGUACGAAGACCACACAAAUCUUUCUUAGAAACUGCUGUUUUUAUGGCUGGUUAUGUACCCUUGCCAAAAGGAUUGCUUAAGAUCCUGGAGUGUGUAAAGCAGAUGUCAGGAUACACGUUGUAUGAUUUAGGGAGGCUGUAUUGCCCGCGUAUUUACUGAUAAUUCUAAGAAACCUUAACAUCUAUAGAAAAUGGGUUGAUUGUUUUGCAAAACUUUUUAUUUUGUACAUUUUGUAGACGCGGGUGAAUUUUUGGUUUGAGCAAAAACAGCUGCAAAACUGGCACCGACACAUACCUACACCUAUGUCACCUAUCUGCUGCAGCACAUGAUGGUGUUAUUUUCUUGUGCAGACCCACAAUCCUGCUGUGUCAGCCUGCCCCAGGCAGCAAGCAGGUGCCUCUGCCAGCACACCUGUACCCUGUGCCUUCUUUACUCUCCCCAGUAUCCAAUUUUUUCCUCACUCCUUUUGGUGAAAAAUUGUUUCUUCUCACCUGGUUUCCCUCCUCAGCUUCUUCUGUAUCUCUGAAUCUACUCUGGAAAGGCUUUUCCAAAGUCUGAGCUGCUUUCUGCAUGAUGUGUCCGAGAUGCAGCCUUCGUUUUCCAUCCACAUAUCAAACGUACAUUUGUUUCUCACAGUUCCAUGCCCCAGGUAGUACGGUACCUUUCCCUCUGACGCACACACAUGGGUUUUCUUCCAGCUGCUAUUAAUCCCAAUGUGCAGACUUUGUCUCCAAGCCUUUCACUUGGAUGUUUUCUGAUGUUUUUACGUAUUUCCUACUCUAAUUUCUUUUCUCUUGUCAGACUUGGAGCCCUUGUCUCACAUACCAACACUCCUCUUUGAAUCUGUCCUUCAUUACUAAGAGAUCGACUGCCACUGCCAAUACCGUGUGAAGCCCCAUUAAAAUUUCAAGUACUUCAUUGUUUCUUUCAUCCCGUUACUUAUUCCAAAGAGAAUAUCCCAGUGAAAAACUGCAGGCACUUUCAAAACGGCUUAGUCAGGACGCCCAUGAAAGUUUCAGUGGUUCUUUUACCAGUGUCCUGGGACUGCCAGUGGAGCUGCUAGUGGGUUUCCCACUGCCAUCCCAGAAUAAAAGCUGACAUGGGAAGGGUCAGGUUUGUUUCCUUACAGUACAGCGUCUCGGCCAGCCUGGGUCUAGGACUGGGAUCUCCACCUGCUGCUGGGACGCAGAUAAUGGAAGCCCGCUGAUUCUUUGCCUGUCUGGAAAGCCAUUCAUUCACACUGCCAAAAUACAGUUUGGGUAUUCAUGUUCUUUUUAAGCUCUUCAAGCAAUUCUAAUAAAGCUCUCUGUUUUCUCUUAGCCGCUUAUUUUCAGUAUUUUAUAUCAGUAUGGUUCAUGUAUGGCACAGCAGA